CGCGGAAUAGAGCAGCCCGGUAGCUCGUCGGGCUCAUAACCCGAAGGUCACAGGUUCAAAUCCUGUUUCCGCAACCA
Molecule: transfer RNA, 77 nt
Filed under: Sulfuricurvum kujiense DSM 16994
Lineage: Bacteria; Pseudomonadati; Campylobacterota; Epsilonproteobacteria; Campylobacterales; Sulfurimonadaceae
Also listed under: 3 other names
Description: tRNA-fMet (CAT) (tRNA-fMet-CAT-1-1, tRNA-fMet-CAT-1-2)
Rfam family: tRNA
About the family: Transfer RNA (tRNA) molecules are approximately 80 nucleotides in length. Their secondary structure includes four short double-helical elements and three loops (D, anti-codon, and T loops).
Source: RNAcentral